GGGGUGCUCGAGUGGCGAACGGGUGAGUAACACGUGAGUAACCUGCCCUUGACUUUGGGAUAACUUCAGGAAACUGGGGCUAAUACCGGAUAGGAGCCCCUGCUGCAUGGUGGGGGUUGGAAAGUUUCGGCGGUUGGGGAUGGACUCGCGGCUUAUCAGCUUGUUGGUGGGGUAGUGGCUUACCAGGGCUUUGACGGGUAGCCGGCCUGAGAGGGUGACCGGCCACAUUGGGACUGAGAUACGGCCCAG
Molecule: ribosomal RNA, 249 nt
Filed under: uncultured Actinomycetales bacterium
Lineage: Bacteria; Bacillati; Actinomycetota; Actinomycetes; Actinomycetales
Description: partial 16S ribosomal RNA
Rfam family: Bacterial small subunit ribosomal RNA
Source: RNAcentral